GAUGAACGCUGGCGGCGUGCCUAAUACAUGCAAGUCGAGCGAACAGACGAGGAGCUUGCUCCUCUGACGUUAGCGGCGGACGGGUGAGCAACACGUGGAUAACCUACCUAUAAGACUGGGAUAACUUCGGGAAACCGGAGCUAAUACCGGAUAAUAUAUUGAACCGCAUGGUUCAAUAGUGAAAGACGGUUUUGCUGUCACUUAUAGAUGGAUCCGCGCCGCAUUAGCUAGUUGGUAAGGUAACGGCUUACCAAGGCAACGAUGCGUAGCCGACCUGAGAGGGUGAUCGGCCACACUGGAACUGAGACACGGUCCAGACUCCUACGGGAGGCAGCAGUAGGGAAUCUUCCGCAAUGGGCGAAAGCCUGACGGAGCAACGCCGCGUGAGUGAUGAAGGUCUUCGGAUCGUAAAACUCUGUUAUUAGGGAAGAACAAAUGUGUAAGUAACUAUGCACGUCUUGACGGUACCUAAUCAGAAAGCCAUGGCUAACUACGUG
This 497-nucleotide ribosomal RNA is filed under the name uncultured bacterium. RNAcentral describes it as "partial 16S ribosomal RNA". It matches the Rfam family "Bacterial small subunit ribosomal RNA", at positions 28 to 507 of the family's 1533-position model. The record is from RNAcentral.